UUUAUUUCAUGCCUAACCGCUUAAACUGCAGUGAAAUCGUACGGUAGAAAUGUUUACCUUCUGAUGUCCUUCCCUGCAUGCACUUACUCUCUGUCGCUUAUUCUCUGCUGAGAUUUUCCAUAGCUAGAGCCUGGAUAAAAACUAUAAACCCACAGGACGUUUCUUUCAGUAGGUCAUUCUGAGAAGACACCAAGAGCCUCUUUAGAAGAGUGGGUCAUGCUUUGUAUCAUGUGUCCUGCUCCUACCAGGACCCCUGGGUUCUGAUCCAAGGUCCACUGCCGCCAGUGGGAGCAGAGGAGAAAGCAGGAGGUCCAAACACCUCGGAGGACUUUCAGCUUUGUGUUAGGACUUGAGGGAGAAUGAUAUGCCUUGUCUCAAUCUUUCUGGUGAAAACGAUCCCCACUGCACAGUUCUGAUCUUUAUUACUGGGGUCUUCAAGUGUUCUCUUGAUUGAACUGCAUCUUAAUGAAGAGACUACAUUGGAGACUGAUUUCUCACACAGCUGAUUAUUGAGAAAUAUGCUCUCCUUGUCCAUGUGAACAAUUCCUCUUCUACAUCAAGACUGAAACAGCCCUGAGGUUACAAUCUCAACAGCUUAUAAGGCUCUCAGAAGCAGAGACCAACAAGUGUUUAUGAGAAACUACCAGUACAGAUGAUAAAAAUACAAAUGAUACUGGCAUUCAGCAGCAGCUGAUGUAUUUGCAUCCUUGAAGAUCACCAAUGGAUACAUCCAGGACAAGUUUAGGGCAUCUUGUCCAGUUCUGCAUGCUUGGAACCAAGACAGCAAUCAAGGUCCAAUUUUAGAAGGAACAGCAUCUCUGUUUGACAACGUGGAGUUAAACGCUUAGUGGGAGAGUUCUCUGGGACUGUCUUGAGGGGAGUAACUAGACAGGACAAGAAGAUUUCCUAAAACUCAAGUACUUUACUAUUCAAUUCUUAAUGUCAGUGCUAUACCAGGAAGAAAGGCUUAAACAUGUUUACUGUGCAAAUGCCUGGUGUGUAUAAUAACUUAAUGCUCUCAUCUGCUGCUUGGCUGUCCUUUCUCUGCUGGACAUCAGCACCUCCAUGGAUCUGAGGAUCCCAUGGCCACAGUGCAUCGCUCAUUCACACCGGUGCGCAGUCAACCAUCUUAUAUUAAAACUACCAUAGGAGAUCGUGGGAGCCAAUAUUUUUGGUUAAAAAUCACUGAAGCAGGCUGAGGAAUCCCAUAUUCCUUUCAGCUGCAGUGGGCUCUGAUGAGUAUGCGAAGGUGGUCGUGUUUUUGACUAGUCUCUGGGAAGGGAUAUACUGCCAUGCCCUUAAUCUGGCCUGCCUGGCUGGACUCCAUGACUGUCAUAUCAACAUUGACAGCUUCGUGGUCCUGUCAUAUCAGCAAUAUCCUGAUCCCCUGGAGUCAAGCAGUUAACAAAACAGAUCCUACCGGUCUUUGAGGAACAAGCUGGCUGCCUUUCCCAUUUACCUUAACUCCGUGGAUGUGCAUGCUCUUUGAGUCAGUGACAGAAAGCAUAAAGGUUAACUGAAAAUGAUUUAAACAUUGUUCUUUUAUAUGGAUAUACUCUUUAUAAUCUUGAAUUGCCCUUUGCAUGAAAAACAAGAGC
Long non-coding RNA from Numida meleagris (helmeted guineafowl), 1598 nucleotides. RefSeq lists it as uncharacterized. NCBI's taxonomy places the organism in Eukaryota, Metazoa, Chordata, Aves, Galliformes, Numididae. The transcript is spliced from 4 exons. The record is from RefSeq and is a predicted model, not a curated record.